UACAGAGGAUGCAAGCGUUGUCCGGAAUUACUGGGCGUAAAGCGCGUGUAGGCGGAUGAGCAAGUCUGCUGUGAAAGCUCCUGGCUUAACCGGGAGUGGUCGGUGGAAACUGCUCGUCUGGAGGACGGUAGAGGUAGGUAGAAUUCCCGGUGUAGUGGUGAAAUGCGUAGAGAUCGGGAGGAAUACCUGUGGCGAAGGCGGCCUACUGGGCCGGACCUGACGCUGAGACGCGAAGGCGUGGGGAGCGAACGGG
This 253-nucleotide ribosomal RNA is filed under the name uncultured bacterium. Its description in RNAcentral is "partial 16S ribosomal RNA". It matches the Rfam family "Bacterial small subunit ribosomal RNA", at positions 524 to 776 of the family's 1533-position model. The record is from RNAcentral.